This 484-nucleotide ribosomal RNA is filed under the name uncultured bacterium. RNAcentral describes it as "partial 16S ribosomal RNA". It matches the Rfam family "Bacterial small subunit ribosomal RNA", at positions 30 to 507 of the family's 1533-position model. The record is from RNAcentral.
AUUGAACGCUGGCGGCAGGCCUAACACAUGCAAGUCGAGCGGAUGAAGGGAGCUUGCUCCUGGAUUCAGCGGCUGACGGGUGAGUAAUGCCUAGGAAUCUGCCUGGUAGUGGGGGAUAACGUCCGGAAACGGGCGCUAAUACCGCAUACGUCCUGAGGGAGAAAGCGGGGGAUCUUCGGACCUCACGCUAUCAGAUGAGCCUAGGUCGGAUUAGCUAGUUGGUGGGGUAAAGGCCUACCAAGGCGACGAUCCGUAACUGGUCUGAGAGGAUGAUCAGUCACACUGGAACUGAGACACGGUCCAGACUCCGACGGGAGGCAGCAGUGGGGAAUAUUGGACAAGGGGCGAAAGCCUGAUCCAGCCAUGCCGCGUGUGUGAAGAAGGUCUUCGGAUUGUAAAGCACUUUAAGUUGGGAGGAAGGGCAGUAAGUUAAUACCUUGCUGUCUUGACGUUACCAACAGAAUAAGCACCGGCUAACUUCGUG